CGUUGCCGGUUGCAUUCAAAAGGCGCGUAGGUUCGUAGGUAUUCGACGUAUUAUAUUUAAUAUCUUAGACCAUGGUCUAAGUUUAAUAUAAUAUUGGUCGCGUUCACCAGAAUAAUCCGAGUGCAAUCCGAUUAAUUUGCGCUGAAACGCUGACAGUUUUUUUUACUAGUGAACGACUGACGUUUGACAUUCGAUUGAGAGUGUUCUGUGUUCCAUUUGUUUAUGUUUUUAUUCUUUGUUUAUAUAAUUUAUAACCUAUUUAGACAGUUUUGUUUUUAUUUUAAAUAAAACUGAAACUGUCUAAACUAAAAUGGAUAAUAUUCUUGAAGAACUUUUGUUUGGGGACGAAAUUAGCAAAUGCCGUUAUACAUUUAGCAGAUGUACCUACCUCAAAUUAUUCCAGAAGGAUGAGAUGAAAUUAAAUAUAUAUAAACCAUAAUUCAAUAUCCAAUUUAGAGAACAUUUUCGUAUGUCCAGAACUACUUUCCAGGAACUAUUUAAUUGUAUUGGUCAUAUCCACCAAUUUGAAAACAGAAUAAUUCUAUUGGAAAAAAUUAAUGUUUAUGAUGUGGAUGCUAAGUAAACCAGAUAAUUUGUUGCUGGGGAUACGUUUGGUUUGCCAAAGAGCUCUGGACAUAAGAUUUUCACCCAAAUAAUAUAGAAUUACAAAAAAUUGGAAAUAACUAAUCUUGAAUAUCAAUGUGUAUAUUGAGUUUAAUUUUAUUGUAAAUAUUCUAUAAUAUAAUUUUAUUGUAAAUAUUGUAUUAACACAUUUGUGGACACAUUUUCAUAUGCAGACAGUAAUUUCCCUUUGUAAGUACAUGCAUAUAUAGUCGUAUCUGCGAAUGGGUUAAUUGUAAAUCGUAAUCAAUAAAAAUUUUUUGUGAAUCAAUAAAAAACUGGUUUGUUUGAAAAUAAAUGUAGUACAAAUGUG
Molecule: long non-coding RNA, 934 nt
Organism: Diabrotica virgifera virgifera (western corn rootworm)
Lineage: Eukaryota; Metazoa; Arthropoda; Insecta; Coleoptera; Chrysomelidae
Exons: 2
Source: RefSeq, a predicted model, not a curated record